CCUACGGGAGGCAGCAGUAGGGAAUCUUCCACAAUGGGCGAAAGCCUGAUGGAGCAACGCCGCGUGGGUGAAGAAGGUCUUCGGAUCGUAAAACUCUGUUGUUAGAGAAGAAAGUGCGUGAGCGUAACUGUUCACGUUUCGACGGUAUCUAACCAGAAAGCCACGGCUAACUACGUGCCAGCAGCCGCGGUAAUACGUAGGUGGCAAGCGUUAUCCGGAUUUAUUGGGCGUAAAGGGAACGCAGGCGGUCUUUUAAGUCUGAUGUGAAAGCCUUCGGCUUAACCGGAGUAGUGCAUUGGAAACUGGGAGACUUGAGUGCAGAAGAGGAGAGUGGAACUCCAUGUGUAGCGGUGAAAUGCGUAGAUAUAUGGAAGAACACCAGUGGCGAAGGCGGCUCUCUGGUCUGUAACUGACGCUGAGGUUCGAAAGCGUGGGUAGCAAACAGGAUUAGAUACCCUUGUAGUC
Molecule: ribosomal RNA, 465 nt
Filed under: uncultured bacterium
Lineage: Bacteria
Description: partial 16S ribosomal RNA
Rfam family: Bacterial small subunit ribosomal RNA
Source: RNAcentral